GCGGCCUAUCAGCUUGUUGGUGGGGUAAUGGCCUACCAAGGCGACGACGGGUAGCCGGCCUGAGAGGGCGACCGGCCACACUGGGACUGAGACACGGCCCAGACUCCUACGGGAGGCAGCAGUGGGGAAUAUUGCGCAAUGGGCGAAAGCCUGACGCAGCGACGCCGCGUGAGGGAUGAAGGCCUUCGGGUUGUAAACCUCUUUCAGCAGGGAAGAAGCGAAAGUGACGGUACCUGCAGAAGAAGCACCGGCUAACUACGUGCCAGCAGCCGCGGUAAUACGUAGGGUGCAAGCGUUGUCCGGAAUUAUUGGGCGUAAAGGGCUCGUAGGCGGUCUGUCGCGUCUGCUGUGAAAACUCGGGGCUUAACCCCGGGCCUGCAGUGGGUACGGGCAGACUAGAGUGCGGUAGGGGAGACUGGAAUUCCUGGUGUAGCGGUGAAAUGCGCAGAUAUCAGGAGGAACACCGGUGGCGAAGGCGGGUCUCUGGGCCGUAACUGACGCUGAGGAGCGAAAGCGUGGGGAGCGAACAGGAUUAGAUACCCUGGUAGUCCACGCCGUAAACGUUGGGCGCUAGGUGUGGGGCUCUUUCCACGAGUUCCGUGCCGCAGCUAACGCAUUAAGCGCCCCGCCUGGGAGUACGG
RNAcentral lists this ribosomal RNA (641 nucleotides) under uncultured bacterium. Its description in RNAcentral is "bacterial SSU rRNA". It matches the Rfam family "Bacterial small subunit ribosomal RNA", at positions 233 to 885 of the family's 1533-position model. The record is from RNAcentral.